CAAGAACCCAAUACUCAAUACCACAUUCUCCGAGGGGCAGGAGGCAGCAGUGCCAUAACAUUCCACAAAUGUCCUUUCACACGGUAAAAAUAUUUCUGACAGUCACUCUGCCCAAACCUUCCUAUUCAUAACACUGUCAGCUGGUGUGUCACUCACAGUGACAGGAAAGGAGAGAGGGAAAGAUGAUUGUGGUGAAAAAGAUGGUAGAAGUUAAAUCACUGCAUGGUGAACAAGCAAGAAGCACCUCAACUGCCCAUUGUCACAAAGAUUGCUGACGCAUUCCUGUCAAAGAGGGUCGAGAAGGAAAAUAUUCCACUGGCCUCAGGGAAACAGACUUCCUGGAUCUCAAGGCUGCCACAGCUAUCAUGGAGUCCAGCUUGCUCAACCAGAGAAACCUGUAUCAGUGAAGUCAUCAGAGUCUCUCAAAGCUAACUGAUCUUCUCUGGAAUGUGGGAAUCUUCAAUAGUCAGCCUUCUAGAAAACACCAUUAUCUGGGUCAUUUGCUCUUCAUGGUCAC
RNAcentral lists this long non-coding RNA (517 nucleotides) under Microcebus murinus (gray mouse lemur). Its description in RNAcentral is "lncRNA (ENSMICG00000048517.1)". Lineage: Eukaryota; Metazoa; Chordata; Mammalia; Primates; Cheirogaleidae. The record is from RNAcentral.